This is a long non-coding RNA of Rana temporaria (common frog), 708 nucleotides long. RefSeq lists it as uncharacterized. The transcript is spliced from 2 exons. Lineage: Eukaryota; Metazoa; Chordata; Amphibia; Anura; Ranidae. The record is from RefSeq and is a predicted model, not a curated record.
CACAACGAAACCGGUCGAGCGGACGCACGCUGUUACAACACUUCCACGAGUACAUACAACAUCUGAUUUGUUUUCAUGAAAUUGUGUGUUUUCUACAAAGAUCCCAGGCAGUGAAAGCUAAUUGCUCCCACAAGCUUGAGAGACCUUGUAUGGGUUGGAUAUCUGCAUUGCCAAAGAACCCGGAGAAGUGGGACACGGACACGGAGAAGUGGGGGAAGGAAACAGCCUGAUGGUCCAUUCAAAUACAGAGGCAACAAAUGCCCCUUUGCCAUAAAUGUCUUAUAGAGGAGGGAUCUAUUAUUCAUAUGGUAUGGGAAUGCAAUAGGAUUCGCCCCUUUAUGGUCCCAGGUCACUCAGUUUAUUACAGACACUUUCGAUCUUUCAUAUAUCUGUAGCCCGCUGCUGGGGCUUUUGGGUGUAAUUAAGGAUGGAGUAAUGGGCAAUAAUCUGAGGACUCUACUGCGACUGUUGUUCUUUUAUGUACGAAAACUGAUUGCACUUAAUUGGAUUAGGAGAGAACAUUUAACACUAUAAUUCUGGAAGGCCCUGGUGAAUACCAAUGUUACCUUGUAUAAAAUGACCUACAAAACAAGGGGAUACCCCAAAAAAUUCAAUACAAUUUGCAAUAAAUGGGUUAACGCUAAUCAUACAGUGACAGAAGGCCCUUGAGAUUUCUAUACUGUAUAUUAAACUACAGUCUGUACUGAA